GAUAAACGCUGGCGGCGCACAUAAGACAUGCAAGUCGAACGAACUUAAUCGUUAGUUUACUAAUGAAGCGGUUAGUGGCGGACUGGUGAGUAACACGUAAGCAACCUGCCUAUUAGAGGGGAACAACAGUUAGAAAUGACUGCUAAUACCGCAUAUGCCAUAAGUAUCGCAUGAUACAAGUGGGAAAGGAGCAAUCCGCUAAUAGAUGGGCUUGCGUCUGAUUAGAUAGUUGGUGGGGUAACGGCCUACCAAGUCGACGAUCAGUAGCCGAGUUGAGAGACUCUACGGCCACAUUGGGACUGAGAUACGGCCCAGACUCCUACGGGAGGCAGCAGUCGGGAAUAUUGCGCAAUGGAGGAAACUCUGACGCAGUGACGCCGCGUGCAGGAAGAAGGUUUUCGGAUUGUAAACUGCUUUAGACAGGGAAGAAAAAGACAGUACCUGUAGAAUAAGCUCCGGCUAACUACGUGCCAGCAGCCGCGGUAAUACGUAGGGAGCAAGCGUUAUCCGGAUUUAUUGGGUGUAAAGGGUGCGUAGACGGGAAAAUAAGUUAGUUGUGAAAUCCCCAUGCUUAACAUGGGAACUGCAACUAAAACUGUUUUUCUUGAGUGCUGGAGAGGAAAGUGGAAUUCCUAGUGUAGCGGUGAAAUGCGUAGAUAUUAGGAGGAACACCAGUGGCGAAGGCGACUUUCUGGACAGUAACUGACGUUGAGGCACGAAAGUGUGGGGAGCAAACAGGAUUAGAUACCCUGGUAGUCCACACCGUAAACGAUGGAUAAGAGGUGUAGGGUGUGAUAAACGCUUCUGUGCCGUCGCAAACGCAGUAAU
Molecule: ribosomal RNA, 828 nt
Filed under: uncultured bacterium
Lineage: Bacteria
Description: bacterial SSU rRNA
Rfam family: Bacterial small subunit ribosomal RNA
Source: RNAcentral